RNAcentral lists this transfer RNA (66 nucleotides) under Arctopsyche sp. XG-2022. RNAcentral describes it as "tRNA-Thr". It matches the Rfam family "tRNA". From Rfam's summary of the family: Transfer RNA (tRNA) molecules are approximately 80 nucleotides in length. Their secondary structure includes four short double-helical elements and three loops (D, anti-codon, and T loops). Lineage: Eukaryota; Metazoa; Arthropoda; Insecta; Trichoptera; Hydropsychidae. The record is from RNAcentral.
GUUUUUAUAGUUUAAUAUUAAAACAUCGAUUUUGUAUAUCGAAAAUAUUUUAAGAAUUUAAAAACU